GCCUAGAUAGCUCAGUUGGCAGAGCACGUCCUUGGUAAGGACGAGGUCAUCGGUUCAAUCCCGAUUCUAGGCUCCA
This 76-nucleotide transfer RNA is filed under the name Candidatus Cloacimonadota bacterium. RNAcentral's name for it is "tRNA-Thr". It matches the Rfam family "tRNA". From Rfam's summary of the family: Transfer RNA (tRNA) molecules are approximately 80 nucleotides in length. Their secondary structure includes four short double-helical elements and three loops (D, anti-codon, and T loops). Further hydrogen bonds mediate the characteristic L-shaped molecular structure. tRNAs have two regions of fundamental functional importance: the anti-codon, which is responsible for specific mRNA codon recognition, and the 3' end, to which the tRNAs corresponding amino acid is attached (by aminoacyl-tRNA synthetases). tRNAs cope with the degeneracy of the genetic code in two manners: having more than one tRNA (with a specific anti-codon) for a particular amino acid; and 'wobble' base-pairing, i.e. permitting non-standard base-pairing at the 3rd anti-codon position. Lineage: Bacteria; Pseudomonadati; Candidatus Cloacimonadota. The record is from RNAcentral.